RNAcentral lists this ribosomal RNA (707 nucleotides) under uncultured bacterium. Its description in RNAcentral is "bacterial SSU rRNA". It matches the Rfam family "Bacterial small subunit ribosomal RNA", at positions 1 to 697 of the family's 1533-position model. The record is from RNAcentral.
CCCUUAGAGUUUGAUCCUGGCUCAGGACGAACGCUGGCGGCGCGCUUAACACGUGCAAGUCGAGCGAGAACCCAGGCUUCGGCCUGGGGGAAAGCGGCGAACGGGUGAGUAACACGUGAGUAAUCUGCCCUCGACAUCGGGAUAGCCCGGGGAAACCCGGAUUAAUACCGAAUAGCCCAACAGCUUUUCGGAGCGGUUGGAAAAGGUAGCUUUGGCCUCCGGUCGAGGAGGAGCUCGCGGCGGAUUAGCUUGUUGGUGAGGUAACGGCUCACCAAGGCGACGAUCCGUAGCUGGUCUGAGAGGACGACCAGCCACACUGGGACUGAGACACGGCCCAGACUCCUACGGGAGGCAGCAGUGGGGAAUCUUGCGCAAUGGGCGAAAGCCUGACGCAGCGACGCCGCGUGAGGGAAGAAGGCCUUCGGGUUGUAAACCUCUUUCAGGAGGGACGAAGCCACUCGGGUUAAUAGCCCAGAGGGUGACGGUACCUCCAGAAGAAGCCCCGGCUAACUACGUGCCAGCAGCCGCGGUAAUACGUAGGGGGCUAGCGUUGUCCGGAUUUAUUGGGCGUAAAGAGCGUGUAGGCGGCCAGACAGGUCCGUUGUGAAAACUGGAGGCUCAACCUCCAGCUGUCGAUGGAAACCGUUUGGCUAGAGUCCGGAAGAGGAGAGUGGAAUUCCUGGUGUAGCGGUGAAAUGCGCAGAUAU